AUCACUUAAUUUCACUGUCCUUCAGAGGCAUAACUAGUAACCCACAUUUACUUUUGUCUGUUCAGUGCUUAUAAAAUGCUCAGUUUUAUUCCCGGAGUGUUCUCUUAUGCAAGGAUAAGGCUAUUUUCUUAGAAGAAAUUUGCAAGUACUCUUGACCAGUAGUUUUUAAACAUUGUGUUUGCUGUGGAAGGUGUCAUUUUCUUCUUUGUAAUUGUAAAUGCUUCAGCACCACUGAAAAUCUAAUUAACCUUAUAAAAAGAAGAGCACACUGAUAUUUGUAGGGAGAAUGAAGAAUGUAGAACAGAGUUAAGCUGAGAAAGUAAAGGAUAAUAUUUAGUUGCAGCCAUGGUAAUGAUCACGGGGACACUCUUGUUUCAGAAGCUCUGUGACAAACACAGUCCCUUUGAAUAGAUGGCUUUUAUUCUGCAAGCAACUCAUUUCUCCCUGAAACUGCACCCAGCCAGCCCCAUGAGGCAGUGUUAAGGAUAUUACAGUUCAGAGAAGCUAGUUUUCAGGCAAAAUCUGAAAUCCAGGGCCUCACAAUGUACUUAAGCAUUUUGAUGGAAAAACUAUUAGCCUUACAUUGUGGCUGUGUCUUUAAUUCCUUCAGUUUUAGCUGGCUACCUUCAGCUGACAGGACCUGAGGGAAUGGCUCGAAGCUGUGUCAGGGGAGGAUUAGGUUGGAUAAUAGGAAAAUGUUCUUCACCCAGAGAGUGUCUGGCCACUGAAUAAGCUCUCUAUGGAAGUGGCCACACCACAAAGCCUGACAGAGUUCAAGAAGCAUUUGGACAAUGCUCUAGGGUAGAUGGUGGGAAAUGCUGGGGUGUCCUGUUUAGGGCCGGGAGUUGCACGUGGAUGAUCCUUGUGGGUCCCUUUAAAGUCAGGAUAUUUUGUGAUUCUUUUCAACAUUGACCUUAUUUUGCUAGAACAGUCCUUUUGCAGUGUGACAAUGGGAUACUUUUCCUGGUGGUGAACAUCCUUGCACAGCUGGUAACUACUGGAGUGUGAAGUGCGAGUGUGGUUGAGUGGUCUGAAAUGCUGAGACAGCAGAGUAGGUUAAGGGCAGUAUUUUGCACUGUACUGAUAAGGGGAAGUUGAUUUCUGGUGUACAUUUUUACACUUGCACAAUAUAUGUACAUGUAUAUACAUGAAAAUAUAUGCAGGACCUUUCCCCACCCCAAAAUUCCAAACCUUGCCUCUGAAAUUAAUAUAGCUGAAAUAUCUU
Molecule: long non-coding RNA, 1225 nt
Filed under: Lonchura striata (white-rumped munia)
Lineage: Eukaryota; Metazoa; Chordata; Aves; Passeriformes; Estrildidae
Description: domestica (Bengalese finch) lncRNA (ENSLSDG00000005736.1)
Source: RNAcentral